RNAcentral lists this long non-coding RNA (426 nucleotides) under Phaseolus vulgaris (common bean). RNAcentral describes it as "long non-coding RNA (PVUL_LNC000790)". The record is from RNAcentral. Lineage: Eukaryota; Viridiplantae; Streptophyta; Magnoliopsida; Fabales; Fabaceae.
UUAAUUCCAUAAGUUCCCAGCUGUACUUCCACCUCCGGGCAACAUCCGCUUGCAGAUUUUUUGUAGCCAUCCCCUAGCCUCACCGUAUAAGUUGGUGUUGCUUCAACUUUUAAACCCAAUUGACUUACUAACUCUGUUGAAAUAAAGUUGUGACUGGCCCCACUGUCAAUUAGCACCAGUGCGGUUCUUCCCUCCACGGUGCCUUGUAAUUUCAUGGUGUGUGGCUGUGUUAAGCCCCUGGCCGAGAAAAUGGAUAGGUCCAUUUCUGGGUUUCCCCUCUCUUCCUCCUCAUCAUGACCAUUCUCUUCACUCAAAUCCCUCUCCUCUUCCGCACAAAUGAUCACCCUCAGAUUUUUCUCUGGGCAGCGGUGGCCCGGGCUAUACGCCCCGCCACAAUGGAAGCACCUGCCCUCUUCUCUCCUUCUA